CAGCGCAGCUCACGGAAGGCCAGAAGCUGGGGUCUGGGCCUGGUAAGCAAGAGAGCUUGUCCAGCCCCUCCCUGGAGCAGCAGACCCUGCCAGCCAGGCCCACCUCAGAGGGCCUGACCCCACCCCACGCCCAUUCACCCUGUACCAUCAUGCUCCCUCCGCAUGCCCAGCUCAGCAGCCCUCUACCUCAGGGUCUGCACACCUUUCCCUGUACCCCACCCCCUACCACCAAUGGCCCAGCUGCAGCUCAGGCUCUUUCCAUUUCUCAGAGGCAAAGAUGGGGCUGGGCAGAGGCGGGGAGAAAGCUAACAAGGGUACCCUGCUCUGGGUAGAGGGUAAGUGUAGAAGUUAAAAGGAGAAGGAGCUACCUAUACUUCAAAGGAUUAAAAGUCUGGAAGCUUAAUAGGAAGCUUAGUGAAAGGCUGGGGCCCUGGAUGUGACCCGGAUCCUUUGUUCUUAUUCCAUGUGGCCCAGGGCACACCCCACCCUUAAGAAGCCGUGGGAUUCCUUCUUGCUGCCUCUAUCUCUCAGCAAGGGGAUGACCACUGCCCUUUGCGUCUGUACCAGGCUCGAGUCCCAGCUUACUUUCUAGCUGUGUGACCUUAAGCAAAACCCAUCUACCUGGGGAGCAGGAUGGGCCUGAAUAUUCCCUUUAUGCAGGCCGAUGGGUUAUUCAAAGCCACACAAUGAUGCAAGUGGCCUGGAAUUGGGGGUGCUGUCACAUGAACCUGGUUCCUGCACACUGGUGAAUGACAGAUAUGGAGGCCCUGAACAACUGAAGCUUCUAGCUCUGGUCACUGAUGCCUGGGACUCUGGCUUCAGCUGGCCAGGAAGCUGGGAACAAUGGCCAGGACUGGUCCUGCUGCCCUGUCUGGCCAAAGGAGCAGGACAGCUCUUCACACCAGGCCCAGGGGGGCCAGCCUCUCAGCCCGCUCAGCUGUCUGAGGGAUUGCAGUUACUAGGCUCCACCUUCCCAUUUGUGCAGAGGCAGCCCUCCAUAGACGGCCUGCGCCUCUGGGCACUGACAUACAAGUUAUCUCUUGGUCUCCAUUCCCAUCCCACUGCCCCCCUGUCUUCCUCCAGAGCAGGCCUUGGGUGAGACCAUGGGCUGCUCAGGCCACAGAAAUUCGCCCAAGGCCUCCCAGUCAGACUCUGGUGACAAGCUCCGCAUUCAACCCUUAAGCAAGUGGUUUCUUUGUUCCUUGAAGGUCACGCCUCCAGGAAGAGCCUUGGCUGCUAUUGAUUUUCUCAAACCUACAAAGAUUCCAGCCAGAAUAGCCUGCAAAGAAGGUGGGGGGGGGGGGCUGUGGAGUCUCCAUCUUCACUACAGAUGACUCCAUCCCCUCCCUGGGUCUACACUCCUUCCUUUUUUAAUCCACAAGCAUUACUGAGCACCGCUGUUGGCCAGAGGGUGCAACAGGGCACUAAGCAAGAACUUCAGAUGAGAGGGUUUGGAGUUUUCAUGAAUCAAAAAGUAGGGUCAAAAAAUGUCAAAAUUGCUGGGUGUGGUGGCACACACCUGUAAUCCCAAUGGCUAGGGAGGCUGAGGCAGCAGGAUCUUGAGUUCAAAGCCAGCCUCAGCAACUUUGCAAGUCCCUAAACAACUUAUUAAGACCCUGUCUGAAAAUAUAACAUAAAAAGGGGCGGGAUGUGGCUUAGUGGUUAAGCACCUCUGGGUUCAAUCCCCCGUACCAAAAAAUAUCUAGUACAAAAUAUGCUAUGCAAAAGUCCCCCCAACCCUCAUUCCAUCCUACCCUCAGCUGGAAUCCUCACCUAGUUCCUAAACCUGUCCCAGAGCCAGCCCCAGCCCUGGGAUGGGCUGUGAUGUGUGUUGUACAUGUUGUAUUAAACACCACUGUUACUUUGUUGUAGUUAUUUCAUUUAAUCCAGAUCAGUAUUCUUGCUCUGGGUGACUCCAAGCCCUAAUCCCUCAGCCCCAGUUAUAAAGGUAAGAGGCAGGCAAGUCCACUGUGGGCCAGAGGGCAUGAGUGAGUCCCCUGAACAGCUGCAGUGUUUGUUCUCAUGGUCUUGGGGAAGGUUGACUUGUCAGAAAGAAAGUGUGAGCUUUGGGUAGGAAGAGGUGGGGAAAGCGUUUCUUGUGGAAGGAUAGUUUUGAACCAAGUUUUGGAGGCAGACAGAACCUGGGUGUUUGGGACAGUGAAGAGGCAGGUGGGGUUUAUUUUGGUAUAAAAGGAUCAGGGUAUUGAAUUGGGGUCAGUCCUGGAAGGCCUCGAGGCCAGGUCAGGGUGGCUGGACUCUCCUCAAGAUUUUGUCUGUAAUGAAAACUUCUGAUUUUCUGAUGUGAUCCGCUUUAUGAAGAACAAGGAACCCCAGAGGCUGAGAAGAGGAGGAGGAUGGGAGACAGUGGCCAUCAGCAGCCACCCAGAGCUAGCUUGCUUGCUUUCUGCUUGUUUUUUCUUUUGGAGACAGAUUGGUCCUGGGAUCAAUCACUGGGUCCAGUAAUUUUCCUGCUUCAGGGCUGGGGAUGUGGCUCAAGCGGUAGCGUGCUUGCCUGGCAUGCGUGCGGCCCG
Molecule: long non-coding RNA, 2531 nt
Filed under: Marmota monax (woodchuck)
Lineage: Eukaryota; Metazoa; Chordata; Mammalia; Rodentia; Sciuridae
Source: RNAcentral